GGCAAGAUGGCCGAGCGGUCUAAGGCGUGUGACUCAAGUGAAGGCUUGCCUUCUUACGAAGGUUUCUCAUCAGGGAAAUCCUGGCAGGGGUUCGAAUCCCCUUCUUGUCA
This 110-nucleotide transfer RNA is filed under the name Amylostereum chailletii. RNAcentral describes it as "tRNA-Leu". It matches the Rfam family "tRNA". Rfam says of the family: Transfer RNA (tRNA) molecules are approximately 80 nucleotides in length. Their secondary structure includes four short double-helical elements and three loops (D, anti-codon, and T loops). The record is from RNAcentral. Lineage: Eukaryota; Fungi; Basidiomycota; Agaricomycetes; Russulales; Stereaceae.